UGGGGAAUUUUGCGCAAUGGGCGAAAGCCUGACGCAGCAACGCCGCGUGUGUGAUGAAGGUCUUCGGAUUGUAAAGCACUUUCGACCGGGACGAAAACCCCUUGGCUAACAUCCAGGGGCUUGACGGUACCGGGAGAAGAAGCACCGGCUAACUCUGUGCCAGCAGCCGCGGUAAUACAGAGGGUGCAAGCGUUGUUCGGAAUUAUUGGGCGUAAAGCGCGUGUAGGCGGCUUUGCAAGUCGGGUGUGAAAGCCCUCAGCUCAACUGAGGAAGUGCGCCCGAAACUGCAGAGCUUGAGUGCCGGAGAGGGUGGCGGAAUUCCCCAAGUAGAGGUGAAAUUCGUAGAUAUGGGGAGGAACACCGGUGGCGAAGGCGGCCACCUGGACGGCAACUGACGCUGAGACGCGAAAGCGUGGGGAGCAAACAGG
This 428-nucleotide ribosomal RNA is filed under the name uncultured Archangiaceae bacterium. RNAcentral describes it as "bacterial SSU rRNA". It matches the Rfam family "Bacterial small subunit ribosomal RNA", at positions 355 to 776 of the family's 1533-position model. The record is from RNAcentral. Lineage: Bacteria; Pseudomonadati; Myxococcota; Myxococcia; Myxococcales; Archangiaceae.